AGAAUCAACGCUGGCGGCGUGCCUAACACAUGCAAGUCGAACGAGAAAGUGGAGCAAUCCAUGAGUAAAGUGGCGCACGGGUGAGUAACACGUGACUAACCUACCCUUGAGUGGGGGAUAACCUAGAGAAAUCUGGGCUAAUACCGCAUAAUACCUUCGGGUCAAAGGAGCAAUUCGCUUAAGGAGGGGGUCGCGGCCGAUUAGUUAGUUGGCGGGGUAAUGGCCCACCAAGACUAUGAUCGGUAUCCGGCCUGAGAGGGCGCACGGACACACUGGAACUGAAACACGGUCCAGACUCCUACGGGAGGCAGCAGUGGGGAAUUUUGCGCAAUGGGGGAAACCCUGACGCAGCAACGCCGCGUGGAGGAUGAAGUCCCUUGGGACGUAAACUCCUUUCGAUCGGGACGAUAUGACGGUACCGAGAGAAGAAGCCCCGGCUAACUCGCGCCAGCAGCCGC
RNAcentral lists this ribosomal RNA (458 nucleotides) under uncultured bacterium. RNAcentral's name for it is "SSU rRNA". It matches the Rfam family "Bacterial small subunit ribosomal RNA", at positions 26 to 518 of the family's 1533-position model. The record is from RNAcentral.